This 862-nucleotide unclassified non-coding RNA is filed under the name Hevea brasiliensis (rubber tree). The record is from RNAcentral. Lineage: Eukaryota; Viridiplantae; Streptophyta; Magnoliopsida; Malpighiales; Euphorbiaceae.
AAAUCGAUUACAGACUUCUUGGGGUAUAUUUCACCAACUUUCCAUCAUUUUUCAUAUCUCUAUCUUAAAAAAAUUGGCUGGUUGCGUUAACAAUUAAUCAUAAAAAGGAAGCAAUAGCAAAUAUGAUGAUACAAGAAGAUAUUAUAGAAGCAUAUAUGAAUCUUUACAAUGCAAAGUUAAGAUGACGGCUUUUGACUGGCUCCUUGGAUUUAUUUCUCUCAUUCUUUUGUUGAUUUCAAGUUGUUGUUUUUAUUCAAUCAACUCUCUCUAUUAUCGUGCAAGGUAUAAGACUAAUGUAAGUGGUUUGCUUCCCAUCAAAAAACACAGGGAACUUAAGAAAAGUAGAGGGCAAAGGAUGGAGCAUGCUAAUCAUAGUGGCCCAUACAUAAAUGUACAGAAUUUUGAAAUUGGUUCACCACGUCUAGAUUGUGUUUUUCAUUUGAGUCAUUUGACGGGCAUAGAGGCCAUGCAAGCCUGAUAUGCAGUGGACACGUCUGGCCUAACGCAACUUAUGUAGAAAAUUAUUGAAAUGCUUAAUGGGAAUGCGGUAAACUGGGGCAUCAAGGAAUAUUCUGUCUUUCCCUCUUCUAUGCUAUGAAUUCCUGAAUCCUGAUAAUAAGAUGCAGUUUGUUUUUCUAGGGUUUACUUUUUCCACCUAAUUAUCUUCAAUCAGUAGUGUGGGUAUGGCGAAUUGGGUUUAUGCAUUCUUGCUGAACAAUAAACCUCUGAUAAUUCUUCAUCAAACUGCAGGAAACAAAUGUUCUAACAUAUGUGGUAUACAUGCAUUAUCCUCGUCCUUGUUUUACAAAUCAUUUUCCAUGACCCUUUCUAACUCACAGGCGGAGGCAAUCUCGAGAAAGGU